Molecule: long non-coding RNA, 317 nt
Filed under: Olea europaea (common olive)
Lineage: Eukaryota; Viridiplantae; Streptophyta; Magnoliopsida; Lamiales; Oleaceae
Description: long non-coding RNA (OEUR_LNC005344)
Source: RNAcentral
GUAAAACUCGUGCUUGGACGAAGAAGGAAGGGAAAGAAGCAAAAAAAUUGGCGAAAAGUGACAGAAUCCAAAAAACGGGGAUUAAAUUGGCCAUUGAUGGAAGUUGGAGGCCAAGGCAUACAAGUCAAAAAGUGGAGGAUUUGAGAUGCAAUUAUUCAGGGACCAAAGCUGAAAAUUUUCCUAGGUUUUACUAUUAAAAACCAUGCAGAUCCUUGGAGAAGAGGAACGGCCGAGGGAAAGAAAAAAAAAGAGAAAAACGGCUGCUGCUGACUAAUAUACAUACAAACCUACAGCAAGAAGAGAAAUUGGCUGCUGGG